Molecule: ribosomal RNA, 327 nt
Filed under: Triticum aestivum (bread wheat)
Lineage: Eukaryota; Viridiplantae; Streptophyta; Magnoliopsida; Poales; Poaceae
Description: partial small subunit ribosomal RNA
Source: RNAcentral
AUGUCGAUGACGGCCGGCUGCAGACGGCAGCCGGCGCGACUUGCUUCCGAUGGGGGCGCGCAAGCGCACCCGCUGGGUGUAGCCUCCGGGCAACUUUGGAAAAGUUGGGCAGAGGUUGUUCGCGGUUGUUGGUGCAGACGAUGGCAUCAAGGGUGCCGGGUGCAGACACGGAGUCCGCCGGCUGAUGGGUGCGGGGCCCUGCCGGGCGCAGACGUGGAGUCCGCCGGCUGGUGCUGUCAGGCGCGAACAUGGGGUACGUCGACUGAUGCUGUCGGGCUCGGACGCGGAGUCGGCCGACUGAUGGCGUCGGGCGCGGAUGUGGGGUAA